UCGACGGAUUCUGCGCAGCUCCAUCACUCCCUGACAGGCUGCAGUAGCCGUCACGACUCUGCUCCACUUCCCGCGACGGAUGCCACGCAGUCUCUCCACCCUUUGGCAAGUGGCAACAACGGACGCCGCUCCACUACCUACAACAGGCUCCACGUGGCAGGCCAUAGUAAUGGCCACGGUCCCGCUCCACUACUCCUCGUAACAGACCCCUCCUGGCCCCGAACGACGCACUGACAGGCAGUUACAAACGUCGCCAUCAAUCCAUUGCCCCCUCCACCUAUAAAAGGGGGAC
RNAcentral lists this long non-coding RNA (292 nucleotides) under Elaeis guineensis (African oil palm). Its description in RNAcentral is "long non-coding RNA (EGUI_LNC028090)". Lineage: Eukaryota; Viridiplantae; Streptophyta; Magnoliopsida; Arecales; Arecaceae. The record is from RNAcentral.